Molecule: long non-coding RNA, 1137 nt
Organism: Pipra filicauda (Wire-tailed manakin)
Lineage: Eukaryota; Metazoa; Chordata; Aves; Passeriformes; Pipridae
Exons: 3
Source: RefSeq, a predicted model, not a curated record
GGACCAACAGCCAGACUGGACUGUUGUUUUUCCUGGGAAUUUCACAGAAGUUUUUCUGUCACAGGAUUUCCUGCCAGGGCCUCCGAGGAGCCACAGCCCCUGAUGGUGACAUGGGCGGGUGUGUUGGCACUUGGUGCUGCCAUUCCUGAGGGGAGGGAGGACCAGGAAAUUUACUCAUCGUUGCAUUUGCUGAGCCUCUUGGCUGAGACUGCUGUUUUUCUAAGGAUUGACUGAUCAGAUCCUGGCAGUCCUUUAAGUCACUUGAAGGGACAACUGGAAACAGGCUCUUCCCUGUGAGCUCUGAAGAUCAGACCUGCUGGACAGUAAGAAGUCAGAUUUGCUUCACUUUUCUUCACUCCCUGGGACACAAACAAAAGAAACUAGAGCAAGUUCCUGCCUGCUGAAAUUCCAGGGGCUUGAACUACAUUCCAGCACAACCAAGAGGCAUUUUGAAUCUUUUCUUGGUAUACGUCAGCCCUGCACUGCUCCCAGGCAACUGCAGUUUAAGUUAGAUAUUAUUAAUUUCAAAGGUUUGACUACCAAUAGUUCUCAUUAAUUUCCAUGGCAACAUCGCCUGAAACAAGAUAACAAUUGCUUGGGGUUGUAUAACCAAAGUUCCUAACGUGAAGGAAUGCAAACCAGGAAAAGUGCUCAGAUGGAGGGAACUGACUGACCUUGCAUAACCUCCCUAGGGCCAAACUUCCCUUCCUAUCUAGCAAUCUGCAUUCCUAGUUUGCUGAAAAUAUUGAACAGUUUGCACUUUCAGUCUGUGUCCUCUGGGCUUCAGUCUCCCGCAUGCCUCACAGCUUUCCUGAAACAUUUCACCCACACGUUUAUUCCUUUAUAUUCCUGCUAAUGACACAUGGCUAGAGCUUUCGUAUGAGAUGUAACAGGGAUAUAAAUGAUAAUAGAAAAUUUUAAAACCACAUUACUUUUCUUUGUCUAUCUUGCUAAGAUUAUUGUUUCUGCAGAAAACAGCUGAGACACUUACCAUGAUUGAUUUAGACAUUAAAUUACGGACUUAUGUGCUUUCACUCUAUCAAUAAACACCAAAUAUCUUUAAAAGUCCAAAUAAAGUUUUUCUGGUUACAUGGCCAUUUGGUUAAGGAGAAUAGUGGCAGUCAGUAAGAACUAAAA